GGGUUUAUUAGAAAAGGUCAGGGU
This 24-nucleotide non-coding RNA is filed under the name Arabidopsis thaliana (thale cress). Lineage: Eukaryota; Viridiplantae; Streptophyta; Magnoliopsida; Brassicales; Brassicaceae. The record is from RNAcentral.